UACGGGGGGAGCAAGCGUUGUUCGGAUUUACUGGGCGUAAAGAGCUCGUAGGUGGUUUGGUAAGUCGGAUGUGAAAUCUCCAGGCUCAACCUGGAGGGGUCAUUCGAUACUGCCAUGACUAGAGGUCGGUAGGGGAGUGUGGAAUUCCUGGUGGAGCGGUGAAAUGCGCAGAUAUCAGGAGGAACACCCGUAGCGAAGGCGGCACUCUGGGCCGAUUCUGACACUGAGGAGCGAAAGCGUGGGGAGCGAACAGG
Molecule: ribosomal RNA, 254 nt
Filed under: uncultured bacterium
Lineage: Bacteria
Description: partial 16S ribosomal RNA
Rfam family: Bacterial small subunit ribosomal RNA
Source: RNAcentral